AGAACGAACGCUGGCGGCAUGCCUAACACAUGCAAGUCGAACGAAGCCUUCGGGCUUAGUGGCGCACGGGUGCGUAACGCGUGGGAAUCUACCCUUCGGUUGGGAAUAACACAGAGAAAUUUGUGCUAAUACCUUAUAAUGUCUACGGACCAAAGAUUUAUCGCCGAGGGAUGAGCCCGCGUAGGAUUAGCUAGUUGGUGGGGUAAUGGCCUACCAAGGCGACGAUCCUUAGCUGGUCUGAGAGGAUGAUCAGCCACACUGGGACUGAGACACGGCCCAGACUCCUACGGGAGGCAGCAGUGGGGAAUAUUGGACAAUGGGCGAAAGCCUGAUCCAGCAAUGCCGCGUGAGCGAUGAAGGCCUUAGGUUGUAAAGCUCGUUUACCCGGAUGAUAAUGACAGUACCGGAGAAUAAGCUCCGACUAACGUCCGUCGCCAGCAGCCGAC
Molecule: ribosomal RNA, 446 nt
Filed under: uncultured soil bacterium
Lineage: Bacteria
Description: bacterial SSU rRNA
Rfam family: Bacterial small subunit ribosomal RNA
Source: RNAcentral